GAAACUUGGCUUGAGGACUACCGAGUGGCAGUUCAGAUCGGUGGUGGGAACGAUGAGGUGGCCAUGAAGCAUUUGCCCCUCAUGUUGGAAGGUUCUGCCAGGGCAUGGUUGACUCAAUUACCUCCUAACAGCAUUUACACUUGGGAAGAUCUGUCCCGAGUGUUCGUCAGAACGUUUGAAGGGACUUGCAAGCGACCAGCGGGAUUGACAGAGUUGCAAGUCUGCGUGCAGAAAACUAAUGAGACUCUCAGAGAGUAUAUUCAGAGGUGGAUCACUUUGCACCACACUGUUGAAAAUGUCUCUGAUCAUCAGGCAGUAUGCGCCUUCAAA
This 330-nucleotide ribosomal RNA is filed under the name Triticum aestivum (bread wheat). RNAcentral describes it as "partial small subunit ribosomal RNA". The record is from RNAcentral. Lineage: Eukaryota; Viridiplantae; Streptophyta; Magnoliopsida; Poales; Poaceae.